CUCAGAUUGAACGCUGGCGGCAGGCCUAACACAUGCAAGUCGAACGGAACCUUCGGGUUUAGUGGCGAACGGGUGAGUAAUGCCUAGGAAUCUGCCUAUUAGUGGGGGAUAACGAAUCGAAAGGUUCGCUAAUACCGCAUACGUCCUACGGGAGAAAGAGGGGGAUCUUCGGACCUCUUGCUAAUAGAUGAGCCUAGGUCGGAUUAGCUAGUUGGUGAGGUAAAGGCUCACCAAGGCGACGAUCUGUAGCUGGUCUGAGAGGAUGGCCAGCCACACUGGAACUGAGACACGGUCCAGACUCCUACGGGAGGCAGCAGUGGGGAAUAUUGGACAAUGGGCGCAAGCCUGAUCCAGCCAUGCCGCGUGUGUGAAGAAGGCCCUCGGGUUGUAAAGCACUAAGCGAGGAGGAAGGUCAUCAUACUAAUAUUAUGAUGAAUUGACGUUACUCGCAGAAUAAGCACCGGCUAACUCU
This 472-nucleotide ribosomal RNA is filed under the name uncultured bacterium. RNAcentral's name for it is "bacterial SSU rRNA". It matches the Rfam family "Bacterial small subunit ribosomal RNA", at positions 23 to 504 of the family's 1533-position model. The record is from RNAcentral.